UAAAACCAAAAACAUUGCAUAUACACCUCAUCUUCCCCAAUUUCUUAACCCUAAAUCCUAACCACCACAUCUUGAUCUCCAACAACACAAACUGUCACUUUGUUCAACAAGUCUUCUGCUAUGGCUACCAAUUCAUCUGUGAGAGAUAAAGAUGGGCCUAAUGCUACAGAGACUAGUUUGGAUAAGAUUAAACCGGCAAUUGGCAUCCAGGUCGGGUCGAAACCUCUUGCAGGGUCCUCUUCUUAAGCGAUCUAAAACAGUACUUCAUUGUUUGUUUCUAAUUUCUUAAUAUAAAUUGAAAUUAAUUUAAUUUUUAUUACAGAGUAUGUUUGAUUCGUUUAUUAAUUUGUGUAUGUGUAUUAAAUCUGGGAGAUGAUGAAUGACUGACAACGGGUAGUUAAUCAGUUGGUGGUGUUGGAGAUGAAGACCUUAUAGGGUUGGAAGUAAUGAUAUGGAUAUGUGACUUGUGAUUUGGGGUUUCAAGGAAAGAAGAUGGUUAACUGUAGUAGCAGUUGUAACCGGAAAAGGAAAACGGAUGUCAGUCGGAGUUGCAGCGGUGACCGGAGAAGGAGACGAUUAGCGACAGUGUUAAUUUUUUGCAUUUUGCUUCAUCUCAGAAUUGGUUAAUUGCGAUCCAAAAGAACGAUGACCGUUAAAAGAUUUUAAAACCA
This is a long non-coding RNA of Helianthus annuus (common sunflower), 671 nucleotides long. RefSeq lists it as uncharacterized. The transcript is spliced from 2 exons. Lineage: Eukaryota; Viridiplantae; Streptophyta; Magnoliopsida; Asterales; Asteraceae. The record is from RefSeq and is a predicted model, not a curated record.